AACGAACGCUGGUGGCAUGCCUAACACAUGCAAGUCGAACGAGAUCUUCGGGUCUAGUGGCGCACGGGUGCGUAACGCGUGGGAAUCUGCCCUUUGGUUCGGAAUAACAGUUGGAAACGACUGCUAAUACCGGAUGAUGAAUAAAGCCCAAAGAUUUAUCGCCAGAGGAUGAGCCCGCGUAGGAUUAGCUAGUUGGUGUGGUAAAGGCGCACCAAGGCGACGAUCCUUAGCUGGUCUGAGAGGAUGAUCAGCCACACUGGGACUGAGACACGGCCCAGACUCCUACGGGAGGCAGCAGUGGGGAAUAUUGGACAAUGGGCGAAAGCCUGAUCCAGCAAUGCCGCGUGAGUGAUGAAGGCCUUAGGGUUGUAAAGCUCUUUUACCCGGGAUGAUAAUGACAGUACCGGGAGAAUAAGCUCCGGCUAACUCCGUGCCAGCCGCCGCAGUAA
RNAcentral lists this ribosomal RNA (449 nucleotides) under uncultured bacterium. RNAcentral's name for it is "partial 16S ribosomal RNA". It matches the Rfam family "Bacterial small subunit ribosomal RNA", at positions 29 to 523 of the family's 1533-position model. The record is from RNAcentral.